Molecule: ribosomal RNA, 442 nt
Filed under: uncultured bacterium
Lineage: Bacteria
Description: partial 16S ribosomal RNA
Rfam family: Bacterial small subunit ribosomal RNA
Source: RNAcentral
CCUACGGGAGGCAGCAGUGGGGAAUAUUGGGCAAUGGGCGCAAGCCUGACCCAGCAACGCCGCGUGAAGGAAGAAGGCUUUCGGGUUGUAAACUUCUUUUCUGGGGGACGAACAAAUGACGGUACUCCAGGAAUAAGCCACGGCUAACUACGUGCCAGCAGCCGCGGUAAUACGUAGGUGGCAAGCGUUAUCCGGAUUUAUUGGGUGUAAAGGGCGUGUAGGCGGGAAUGCAAGUCAGAUGUGAAAACUAUGGGCUCAACCCAUAGCCUGCAUUUGAAACUGUAUUUCUUGAGUGCUGGAGAGGCAAUCGGAAUUACGUGAGUAGCGGUGAAAUGCGUAGAUAUACGGAGGAACACCAGUGGCGAAGGCGGAUUGCUGGACAGUAACUGACGCUGAGGCGCGAAAGCGUGGGGAGCAAACAGGAUUAGAUACCCCUGUAGUC